CAUAUUAGAAAUUCAAUAACCAUUUCAUUUUAAAUAUUUUCAAAUGAAAAAAAGUUUUGAACAUAUGACGAUAUAAACAUGAAUAUCCUUCUUUUCUAAAAUAAAUAAAAAUUUACUACAAGCAAAUUAUGCUGACACAGACUAGAAUGCUUCUCUCCCAUAAUAUAACAUUCCUUGAUAAUUGCAUUGAAGUUUAGUUUAACAAAUUGAACUGAUAUUUUCUGUAUCACAGAAUAUCUAAAUUAUAAAGUCUGUAAAUG
RNAcentral lists this long non-coding RNA (260 nucleotides) under Mytilus galloprovincialis (Mediterranean mussel). The record is from RNAcentral. Lineage: Eukaryota; Metazoa; Mollusca; Bivalvia; Mytilida; Mytilidae.